UACGUAGGUGGCAAGCGUUGUCCGGAUUUACUGGGCGUAAAGAGCGCGCAGGCGGUCGUACAAGUCGCGUGUGAAAGCCCCCGGCUCAACUGGGGAGGGUCACGCGAUACUGUUCGACUCGAAGGCAGGAGAGGGUAGUGGAAUUCCCGGUGUAGUGGUGAAAUGCGUAGAUAUCGGGAGGAACACCAGUGGCGAAGGCGACUACCUGGCCUGUUCUUGACGCUGAGGAGCGAAAGUGUGGGGAGCGAACAGG
This 253-nucleotide ribosomal RNA is filed under the name uncultured bacterium. Its description in RNAcentral is "partial 16S ribosomal RNA". It matches the Rfam family "Bacterial small subunit ribosomal RNA", at positions 524 to 776 of the family's 1533-position model. The record is from RNAcentral.